Molecule: long non-coding RNA, 216 nt
Organism: Pezoporus occidentalis (night parrot)
Lineage: Eukaryota; Metazoa; Chordata; Aves; Psittaciformes; Psittacidae
Exons: 2
Source: RefSeq, a predicted model, not a curated record
AUGGUUCUCUAAGUCUCUUUUCAUCUUGGUGCUCCUCCAAUGCACUGUCUCCAGUAUGUUGAAGAAUCUACUUACCCAGAAAAGAACCAGCAGAGGGUGCCUGAACUAGAGAGCAAGUCCGAGAUUUGUGCUGGAAUUCAUAAUGUAAGUGUAAAAAAGGAAAUAAACUUUAAUUUCCUUCUCUAUUAAAACCAAAGAGGAGUAUGUUAAUGAAAA